CACUCAAACCAUCUCUAUAGAGUUUAUCUGAUUCCUCAUCACCACAAACCUGGGGCCAGAUUCCACUGUCAAUCAAAGAGAGAAAAGAGGUUGGAAUCCCCAGCGGACAUUUCAUUCCAUUAGUUCUACUAAAUAAUUCUACAGUAGAGACCGAUAGACCCAGAGCUUGAAUUUGCUGCUGUGAUCAGACUUCCUGGUAGCGAAUGUCUGCAGGCCAGACCUGUGCUGUCCUGAAUGCCUUGCCUUGCCCCGGGGCAGGAGAUCCGGCCCUCUAGGUGGUCCCCUAGGCUAAAGGGCAGCAAGAGUGAAGGCCUGCCACACUCCAGCAGUGUCCUGUCCACCCCACAGAACCCCCACAAGGGGCAGCCCCUAUUUUCAUCCACCCAGCAGCUCUAAUGGUAGGUCCUGGCUCCACCUUCUCCCGCUUGCCCUGUCUUGCUGCAGACACGUUGCUUUGCAUCUUGGACAGAACCAGAAACGUGACACAUUCCUAAUAACCUUAAUAAUCCUCACAGCUAGCAUUUCUUGAGCACGCGAUCACCUUUCCACAUAUCUCAUCUCACUUAAGGUACCCUACGCGAAGGAAGGAUCAUUGCACCAUUACGGAGACGAGGAUACAAACUGUCAGGCCUCUGAGCCCAAGCUAAGCCAUCACAUCUCCUGUGACCUGCACAUAUACAUCCAGAUGACCUGAAGCAAAUGAAGAACCACAAAAAAUAACAUUCCACCAUUGUGAUCUGUUCCUACCCACCCUAACUGAUCAAUUGACCUUAUGACAAUACCCCCUCCCCGCCCUUGCAAUAAUAUACUUUGUCAUACUCCCCCGCCCUUAAGAAGGUACUUUGUAAUAUUCUCCCCGCCCUUGAGAAUGUACUUUGUGAGAUCCACCCCCUGCCUAUAAAAAAUUGCUCCUAACUCCACCGCCUAUCCCAAACCUAUAAGAACUAAUGAUAAUCCCAGCACCCUUUGCUGACUCCUUUCUUGGACACAGCCUGCUUGCACCCAGGUGAAAUAAACAGCCUUGUUGCUCACACA
This 1035-nucleotide long non-coding RNA is filed under the name Homo sapiens (human). Its description in RNAcentral is "long non-coding RNA NONHSAT206663.1". Lineage: Eukaryota; Metazoa; Chordata; Mammalia; Primates; Hominidae. The record is from RNAcentral.